AGGCUUCAUGAUGCGACAGCACUGGGUCCCACAAACAGCUACUGCUAGGCACCUGGGAACCACGAAGAAAUAAGAUCGCUGAGCUCAACCAGCCUCUACUGUUCCAUUUUCCCAUGGAGCAGAGUCAGCCAGGCAACUGCUUGGAGGGCAGAUACCCACCUCGCCUUCUUCCGCGCAUCUCAGAAGCCAGUUUCUGGUCCAAGCCACUCUAGGAGAAGCCUAGAAGCGGCACCCCAGGGCUCCCCAACAUCCCCCAGCGCCGGGAAACCGACUCCGGCUCGCAGUAAGGCAGCCAGGCCUGCCCUUGUCUGAACCUGCGUCCUUGAGACUCAGCCAAACCUCUCCCGGCUUGGCGGAGGGAUGUUGAGGUGACAUUCUUCUCCCUGCCACUCAGCAUCUUUUAAACAAUCCUCCACCUUGGGAGAAGACGCAGGAGCUCCCUGCAGAUUAGGGCCACGGAAGAAAGAAAGUCUCCUUCUCCCUGGGAGGGGCAUUUGUCGCAAGUGAAAAAACGCACCCGUGAAAGUGCUCAUCUCCUGCAGCCAAGGCUCGCCCGGGACCUCAUUUCAUGAGUGAGGAGCCUUCAUCUCACCAGCCCACCCCAGCUGACUGCUGGAGGCACCUGGGGAGCUGUGUUGAGACAGAUGCUCAAGGCCAGUAGGAUUCCAUCCGAGAUUCCACAUUACAUUUAGUUGUCGUGUCUGCUGAGGCUGCUCAUGGCUGAGACGGUUUCUUAACUUCCCUUGGUUUUGAUGACCUUGACAGCUCUGAGGGGUACUUGUCAGGUCUUCUGUAGAAUGCCUCUCAACUGAGAUUUCUGACGAUUUUCUCAUGAUUAGACUGCGGUUACACGUUUUGGGGAAGAAGACCACAGAAGUAAACUGCCA
RNAcentral lists this long non-coding RNA (887 nucleotides) under Equus caballus (horse). RNAcentral describes it as "lncRNA (ENSECAG00000049952.1)". The record is from RNAcentral. Lineage: Eukaryota; Metazoa; Chordata; Mammalia; Perissodactyla; Equidae.